RNAcentral lists this long non-coding RNA (1625 nucleotides) under Homo sapiens (human). RNAcentral's name for it is "HSALNT0347193". The record is from RNAcentral. Lineage: Eukaryota; Metazoa; Chordata; Mammalia; Primates; Hominidae.
AAUACAGCAUAUGGACAAAUAUAGCAUCACAAAAAAUGCAAGUUAAAGGAAUGGGGUAUUAGUGAUGUUUUUGUCUCAUUAAGGAACAAGGUUCUCAUUGAGCAAUAAGGUCAUAUUGAUGACUCCUAAAUCUCUAUCUUCAGACCAGAUCUUGUUCUUGAGCUUCAGAUCUGCAUGUCUGAGUGCCUAAUGGGCACCUCCAAACCUGAUCUUCUUCCAGCAUCCUGCAGCUCCAUCAGAAAACAUCUUUCUCCCUCUUCCACCUUCCUUCUUCUCUCACCCUCACACCACUUCAGGUCCAAUCCAUGACCAAGACCUGCAGAUUCUACCUCCUGCAUAGAGCUUGACUUCCUGUGUUGGUAGUGUACUCACCACUCCUUUUCAAUCCUGGCCAUCAUCCCUCAGUUGAAUUAUUGCAAACACACCCUUCACUGCUCUCCAACCCAUUUUCCACAUGGCAGCCAGAGCCAUGUUUCAAACAAGUCUGAACAUCUUGUUAAUGUGCCUAAAGUACUUCAAUGAUGUCUUAGUCUGUUUUGUGCUCCUAUAACAGAAUAUCUGAGAGUGGGUAAUUUAUAGUGAGCAGAAAUUUAUUGGCUCACAAUUCUAGAGGCUGAGAAGUCCAAGAUCAAGGUGCUGGCAUCUGGUGAGGCCCUUCUUGCUGUGUCAUUUCAUGGUGGAAGGGCCAGAGCACAAGAGAGUGCACCCACUCCCAUUUGUAUAAUGGCAUUAAUCUAUUCAUGACCUAAACACCUCCCUUUAGGCCCUACUUCCCAACACUGUCACAUUGGGGAUUAAGUUUCCAACACGUGAACUUUUGGGUCGCAUUCAACCCAUAGCAAACAAUUUGCCAUGACCCUUAGGAGAAAUUUCAAAUUCUUUGGUAUGCUUGCAAAAUCUCUCUGUCUUUCAAUCUUAUGCACACAUGUGUAUGCACACUCAUGCACACACACACAUAUACACACACACAUAAAAUACCCUCCCCAUCAUCUAGCUCUCCUCUGCCAGGGUCUCCCCUCCCUGCCUGCCUGCCUACCCAGCUGCCUCUGUUGCUGGUAGGGCACCAGCCCCAUGCGUGGCUAUGAGAGUCUGCUUGUUUUUGUGGCCGUUUGAUAGUGUUUGGGGUGGAGUGAUUCUGGAGUGCAGGCUCUGGGGUCUCACCCUCUUGGUUCAAAUCCUGAUUCUACUACUUCCUCAGGCAAGUUACUUAACUUCUGGUAAGCUCCAUGAGCAUCUGUAAAAUGGGGAUCACAGUGACCUCACUUCACAGAAUCGUUACAAGGUGUGUGAUGUGCCCUGUAACACCCAGGACUGAGAAACCCCUAACCCCUUGUGAAUGUUAGCUAGCCUCUCCACUGCUGCUGUGACUCUUACUGUGACUCUCUUGAUCUGGUCUCAACUUAAUAAGGUUCUCUGGAUGGCCUCCCCAUGCCCUCUGCCUCUGUGGCUCCCACAUUUCCCCUCCAUGACACAUGUGCCCCUCUAUUGUAAGCAUUCCUAGACUGUCUGUUAGCAUGUUACCUUCUGUUUUCUACAACAUUCCCAGGGAUUUCUACAGUGUUGGGUACCUGGUAGGGCUCAGUAUAAAAGAAAUAAAUAAGGAAUACAUGAGAUAGAUGCCAAAU